GUUUUAUUCCUACAAUUUUAUUAUGAAGGCUCAGCAAUAUCUUCAUAAUCUUACUAUUAUUAUCAAUAUAAUUGAUUGAAACUAACUUCGAUCUAUGUAUCAAUAUAUAUAUAAUAUACCUCAUCAGAUGGAUACAAAUAGAAAUACAUGUAAUAAUAACACAGAGUGGACAUCACUGGGUACUUGUAUAUCCCAAAAACAAACAGACAAUAAACAAGAUCAGAGAGUACUCACUGUUACUGACAGCUAGUUUAAAGCCAUCUAAGACUAAUCAAGC
Molecule: long non-coding RNA, 277 nt
Filed under: Mytilus galloprovincialis (Mediterranean mussel)
Lineage: Eukaryota; Metazoa; Mollusca; Bivalvia; Mytilida; Mytilidae
Source: RNAcentral